This is a long non-coding RNA of Siniperca chuatsi (mandarin fish), 1379 nucleotides long. RefSeq lists it as uncharacterized. The transcript is spliced from 3 exons. NCBI's taxonomy places the organism in Eukaryota, Metazoa, Chordata, Actinopteri, Centrarchiformes, Sinipercidae. The record is from RefSeq and is a predicted model, not a curated record.
UGCUGAUGACGAACUUGGAGCUGGAGGGUGUGAGCUGUCAGUGUGGUGGACGGCCAUGGUAAGGACAAAGGACCGUUCAUGGCCGAGAGUAUCUGCAAUGACCUAGAGGGAGCUGAGUGGGUGAGAAACAACCUCCACCAGCUGAAAGGGAAAGUAGAUGAGCCUCCCUAUGUCGUGUUGGGUUUAAGACAUCAAACAGGAAGUCGAAGAAAAUCAGCUUGACGCACAUGAUGAAGAACGACAGGAAUUGAUGGAGAAUUUGUAGUUUGAGCGUGAACAUCAAGAUGACUGAUCUGUUCCCGUGUGCUCAAGCUUUAGUAAACAUGUACCUGGAAAUCAUUGGGGGUCCAAGCACCGGUGCUGGAACUCUGUUGUAUUUGUAAGGAUUCUUCUUCUUCUUUUUCUCAGCUAAAAGUUUGCACAGCUCAGAAACCGUACGUCCCAGAGCAACCACAUUUGGUAGGUGGGUUCCCAUGGCCCCCCACUACUCAGCCAAGACCAAUCACGCGUGUCAACCACAUGGUGGGGCUAUAACAAGAGGUCACACUAAAGGCCAUAACUUGGGAUAAAAGUGCUGUGUAAAGGCAUUUUGACCACACGGACCGACUUUGCUUCGCUAUUGAAGUUAACUGUGUAACUGUUGGUGGUUCAGGUUUCCCCCCCAUCCCAGGCCAACUGGGGGUGGCAUAGUCACUGAUAAUUUAGACCUACUCCCUACUGGUCACACAUUAUCCACUCAUCUAAGACCCCAGUAUUCGUAGGGAUUGUCACACCUAAUUCUCUUUAUAUUUCAGUAUGUAUACUUUAGUUCCAUUAAUCUUUGCUCAAAGCGCAAACAAAACACGUAAAAUAAAGCUAACCAAGGUCACUGCACACAGAUGUUUCGCUGAUACUUGGUAAACCCGAGAACAGAACGUUACAACAGUCGAGUCUAAACGAUAAAAAUGCGUGCACUAGGGUUUCAGCGUCAGACACUGUUAAUAUGCCGGAUUUUGGAAAUUUUUUACAAAGAUGAAUGUAAUGGGAGAAUAACACAGUUUGGAACCAUUAGCCUACCUACUGGGUUGUGAAUGUUUUGUGUUUCAAGGUGUGCUUGGACUCCUCCAGUCACCGCCUGCAGCUACAUCAGAAUUUGUAAUUUUUUAAUCUGAUAGAUUUUACAUAACUGGAGUGAAAAUGAUCAAUGUAAUGGAAGUUCAGAGCUCAAACUUAUCCCCUGUGGUUUGGAAUGAUUGAAAAGUCACUCAUACAUAUUAAUAGAAUAAUGACAUGAAUAUAUGGGUAUUUGUGUUUGCGCAUCAAUGAUUAUUUUAAUAACACUGAUGUAUUUUAAUAUUUGUAAUAUAUUACAGUUUAUAUAUAGUCUUCAUAUAUUUUAU